This 274-nucleotide ribosomal RNA is filed under the name uncultured bacterium. RNAcentral describes it as "partial 16S ribosomal RNA". It matches the Rfam family "Bacterial small subunit ribosomal RNA", at positions 79 to 353 of the family's 1533-position model. The record is from RNAcentral.
AAACUGGAGAUGGCGACCGGCGCACGGGUGAGUAACACGUAUCCAACCUGCCGAUAACUCGGGGAUAGCCUUUCGAAAGAAAGAUUAAUACCCGAUGGCAUAAUAGAACCGCAUGGUUUGAUUAUUAAAGAAUUUCGGUUAUCGAUGGGGAUGCGUUCCAUUAGGCAGUUGGUGGGGUAACGGCCCACCAAACCUUCGAUGGAUAGGGGUUCUGAGAGGAAGGUCCCCCACAUUGGAACUGAGACACGGUCCAAACUCCUACGGGAGCAGCAUG